RNAcentral lists this ribosomal RNA (456 nucleotides) under uncultured bacterium. RNAcentral's name for it is "bacterial SSU rRNA". It matches the Rfam family "Bacterial small subunit ribosomal RNA", at positions 440 to 887 of the family's 1533-position model. The record is from RNAcentral.
CCGGGAAGAAAUCGUGGUCUCUAACAUAGGCCAUGGAUGACGGUACCGGACUAAGAAGCACCGGCUAACUACGUGCCAGCAGCCGCGGUAAUACGUAGGGUGCGAGCGUUAAUCGGAAUUACUGGGCGUAAAGCGUGCGCAGGCGGUUUUGUAAGACAGAUGUGAAAUCCCCGGGCUUAACCUGGGAACUGCGUUUGUGACUGCAAGGCUAGAGUACGGCAGAGGGGGGUGGAAUUCCUGGUGUAGCAGUGAAAUGCGUAGAGAUCAGGAGGAACACCGAUGGCGAAGGCAGCCCCCUGGGCCUGUACUGACGCUCAUGCACGAAAGCGUGGGGAGCAAACAGGAUUAGAUACCCUGGUAGUCCACGCCCUAAACGAUGUCGACUAGUCGUUCGGAGCAGCAAUGCACUGAGUGACGCAGCUAACGCGUGAAGUCGACCGCCUGGGGAGUACGGCC